Molecule: transfer RNA, 72 nt
Filed under: Capra hircus (goat)
Lineage: Eukaryota; Metazoa; Chordata; Mammalia; Artiodactyla; Bovidae
Also listed under: 1 other name
Rfam family: tRNA
About the family: Transfer RNA (tRNA) molecules are approximately 80 nucleotides in length. Their secondary structure includes four short double-helical elements and three loops (D, anti-codon, and T loops).
Source: Rfam by way of RNAcentral
UCCCUUGUAGCUCAGUUGGCAAAGAAUCUGCCUGCAAAGCAGGAGAUACAGGUUCAAUUCCUGGGUUGGGAA